GACGAACGCUGGCGGCGUGCCUAAUACAUGCAAGUUGAGCGCUGAAGGUUGGUACUUGUACCAACUGGAUGAGCAGCGAACGGGUGAGUAACGCGUGGGGAAUCUGCCUUUGAGCGGGGGACAACAAUUGGAAACGAAUGCUAAUACCGCAUAAAAACUUUAAACACAAGUUUUAAGUUUGAAAGAUGCAAUUGCAUCACUCAAAGAUGAUCCCGCGUUGUAUUAGCUAGUUGGUGAGGUAAAGGCUCACCAAGGCGAUGAUACAUAGCCGACCUGAGAGGGUGAUCAGCCACAUUGGGACUGAGACACGGCCCAAACUCAUACGGGAGGCAGCAGGAGGGAAUCUUCGGCAAUGGACGAAAGUCUGACCGAGCAACGCCGCAUGAGUGAAGAAGGUUUUCGGAUCGUAAAACUCUGUUGGUAGAGAAGAACGUUGGUGAGAGUGGAAAGCUCAUCAAGUGACGGUAACUACCCAGAAAGCGACGGCUAACUACGUG
This 497-nucleotide ribosomal RNA is filed under the name uncultured bacterium. Its description in RNAcentral is "partial 16S ribosomal RNA". It matches the Rfam family "Bacterial small subunit ribosomal RNA", at positions 28 to 507 of the family's 1533-position model. The record is from RNAcentral.